UACGUAGGUGGCAAGCGUUGUCCGGAUUUAUUGGGUUUAAAGGGUGCGUAGGCGGUCAUGUAAGUCAGUGCUGAAAUAUCCCGGCUUAACCGGGAGGGUGGCAUUGAUACUGUAUGACUUGAGUAAAGUUGAGGUUGGCGGAAUUGACGGUGUAGCGGUGAAAUGCUUAGAUAUCGUCAAGAACACCUAUUGCGAAGGCAGCUAACUAAGCUUUAACUGACGCUGAGGCACGAAAGUGUGGGGAUCAAACAGG
Molecule: ribosomal RNA, 253 nt
Filed under: uncultured bacterium
Lineage: Bacteria
Description: partial 16S ribosomal RNA
Rfam family: Bacterial small subunit ribosomal RNA
Source: RNAcentral